This 472-nucleotide ribosomal RNA is filed under the name uncultured bacterium. Its description in RNAcentral is "bacterial SSU rRNA". It matches the Rfam family "Bacterial small subunit ribosomal RNA", at positions 355 to 825 of the family's 1533-position model. The record is from RNAcentral.
UGGGGAAUAUUGGACAAUGGGGGCAACCCUGAUCCAGCGAUGCCGCGUGUGUGAAGAAGGCCUGCGGGUUGUAAAGCACUUUAGUUGGGGAGGAAAGGUAUGUACUGCAUAAGUGCAUGCUGUGACGUUACCCAAAGAAUAAGCACCGGCAAACUCUGUGCCAGCAGCCGCGGUAAUACAGAGGGUGCAAGCGUUAAUCGGACUUAUUGGGUUUAAAGGGUGCGUAGGUGGCCCUGUAAGUCAGUGGUGAAAUAUCUCAGCUUAACUGAGAGGGUGCCAUUGAUACUGCAGGGCUUGAGUACAGAUGAGGUAGGCGGAAUUGACGGUGUAGCGGUGAAAUGCAUAGAUAUCGUCAAGAACACCGAUAGCGAAGGCAGCUUACCAAGCUGUAACUGACACUGAGGCACGAAAGUGUGGGGAUCAAACAGGAUUAGAUACCCACGUAGUCCCUGAGCGGGCUGGCAAGGCGCAU